CUUUUUGAAACAGUGCAGUUCUGCUUAUAGGUAGUACUCCACCAAAUAGCAUCUCGGCUGGGUCAAAGUUCGAAGUGACCCGAACUUUUAAUGGAGGAGUUAAAGCCGUGAGUCCUGCCAUUGGUGAUAAAUGUGACAGUGGUUGCUUGCAUCAAGUACAGUUUUAUGUAGGUAAUAAAUGCAUGCAAUUUUAUUUUGUGCAGUACCAGUGUGUCAGGCACACUUGUGCUUGAAACAUACACGGGGUGCCUGUAAAACUAAGCACUACCAUUUUGUGCGGAAUUGACGGGGCUUGUAACAACAUCCUGUUAUCUCGAAAAUGAGCCAUGAAAGGUGCCAUUUAACUCAGUCACUACUUUGGGUGAGGUGUUGUAGUAUUCAUAUCUAUGGUUCAAAUUUUGGUUGAUACGUUGUGUAUAGUAGUUUCAGGCCAAUAUCUUAACACUGUCACCAAUGGGAUUUUAAUUGGUAUAGUCCAACCUUAUACACUAUCGGUUUGUGUUCACGACGACCGGAGAAACAUAACCCGAGCAGCUUGUUGACAACGCAAAAUGAGGUUUUUGCUAAUAAGUUGUGUGUUCGUGUUGACUGCCGCCCAAGAUUUUUCCAAAUGCCAGACGAAGCGCUGCUGCACCCCUAAAAGGUGGGAAGGUAUUCAGGCCGUUUUAGGUGGCAUCGUGAAUAAGUCGCCUGAGAAACCCGGGUUAAUUAAGCGCAUCACUCGUUUCCAUUAUGACGACACCAAAGAUCUGGCGGCAUCUUUCUCCAACAUUACGUUGUCGGGACAAGUUUAUCAAUUACACGCUGUUCGAAGAAAGAAAACUUUGUAUCUUGUUGACCUGAACACAAAGAAAUGUCACAAGAGUAGAAUUACGAAACCUUUUAAACUGAGAGAAAGAUGCAUCCCAUGAAGCGCCACGUGUACCGGACCUUUCUACAUGGGCAGUGGAAAUAACAAACUUGAAUUCAAUACGUUCAACACGAUUAAACGAAAAUCAAACAAGACGUACCUAAAUGUCUCCGCUUCCGUCACUGAGAAGUGUAUUCCCUUAAGCGAAGCCUUUUUCGGAACGGUUAGCGGGCAGCGAAUCGUAGAGACCAUCAGAUACUAUGAUGUGCGAGUGGGAAUCAAAGACCCGUCUGUAUUUGACGUACCUAGACUCUGUAACAGUCCCAGUGGCGACUUUAAUCUCGCCUCCUUUCUCAACCGGCACACACAAGACAGUGUGGUGCCAAUCGAAGACAAGAUCAGAUACUUCGACACCCGACUGGGAUACAAAGACCAUUCCGUGUUUGACGCACCCAAACUCUAAAAGUGGCAACAUUGGUUUCGCCUCACUUGUCCAUCAGCUCAAACAACACAGAAUGCUAAGCUUUGAUUAAAUAUGAGAAUGUUUUUUCAAUAUGAACUUUAUUCUUUCCAAUAUCACAUUGUUUUAUAUUAUAGUGUAGCAAGGAAACAUAAUAAGAAGUAAUAAUCCAGGAAUAUUAUUCAGUUCCGUACAUUGCAUAAUAUCAUAUAUUAGUCUUAUAUUUUUUCCAAUAUAUCUUCCUUUUACAAAACCAGUUUGGUCAUUAUCUAUUAUUUUGUCCAAAGUUUGCUUUAUUCUGUUAGCGAUGCACCCUGAAGCAAUUUUAUAAAUGCAGUUUAGUAGAGUUAUAGGUCUCCAGUUUUUAAGAAAUUCCUUUGGUUUAUUUACUUUUGGAAUACAUGUAAUUAUACCUAAUGUUUGUACAUUUGACAUUUCUUUAAUAGAAUAGCUAUAGUUGAUGGCCCUGGUUAUAAAAUGUCCUAAAUCAAUCCAAAACAUUUUGAAAAAUUCAGCUGAGAAUCCAUCUGACCCUGGACUUUUAUCAUUUUUCAUGGUUUUAAGAUAUGACAGUAUUUCUGAAUAAGUCAAUCCACCUUCUAAUCUAUUAGCUUCUUCAUCAGUUAGUUUAUUACAUUGUAAAUUUAAAAAAAAUUCAGUUAUAUCAUUAUCACUUUGCUCAAGUGGCGCAGAAUAAUGUUUUUCAUAGAAAUUUCUGGUUUCUUUCAAAAUUUCUUCCUGUUUUCUAUUUCCUUUCCAUUAUCUAAUUGAAUUCUUAAAAUUAGUUUGUUAGAAUAAUUCCUUGAUUCCAUAUUACAAAAAUAUUUUGUUGGCUUUUCUCCUUCCUCUAUCCAUUUUGCCCGUGAUCGAAUGUAGUGGCCUUUGAGUUUCCCUUUUCUUAAUUCCUUAAGUUCUUUUUUAUCUUCAGUUUGUUUUGUAUCUUCAAUGUUUUUAUUUUGUUCUAGCAUUUUAAUUUCCUCACAUAGUUUAACUUCUAAUUCGUUUCUUGUUUUAUUUUUAAAAGCCGAAUACGAAAUUGUCUUUCCUCUAAUUUGCAUAAGUAAUGUUUCAAGAAAUAGUUGGUCAUUUAUUAUAAAUUAAAUUUCGUUAUACGCAAUUGAUUUUAAGUUUUUAACAUUAUAAAUUGGCACUGCAUACUGACAUUUUAUUUUCCAAAUGGUUUCUUUAAUUAUUUUGACGUAUUCCUUACAAGUUAAUAACGAAUUGUUAAAUUUCCAUAGUCCCCUACCUUUUUUAUUUUGAUUAAAUUUAAUAUGUAAUGUUACACGAGAAUGAUCGGAACGAUAGCUAUUUUCAUUUGUUACCUUUUCAACAAAUGGCAUUAAAUUAUUAAUUAUAAGAAAAAAAUCUAAUCGAGCUUGUUUAGGUGGAGUUUUUUUUCUCCAAGUAUAUCUUUUAAGAUUUGGAUAUAGUUCUCUAAAUGGAUCUUUUAAAUCUAAAAUUUCCAUAGUUUCUAUGAUUUGUUUUUGUGACUUUGGAUGAUUGACAUGUAAAUAAUUUUGAGUGUCUAUAUUUUUAUUUAAAACCAAGUUAUAGUCCCCACAAAUUAUAGAUUUAUCAUUAUCCAGAUCUACAAUAUUGUCAAAAAUAUUUUCAUAAAAUGUUUUUCUUGUCUAUAUUUGGUCCAUAUAUGUUUACAAGUGUAGUCUUUUCACUUUCUAUUGUUAAAUCCAACAUAAUAAAAUUACCAGAAUUAUCUAUUUUUAUUUGUGCUUGUAUCUUAAUAAAAACAAAUGUGCUUGUAUCUUAAUAAAAUAUAUUC
Gigantopelta aegis is the source of this 3093-nucleotide RNA transcript. RefSeq lists it as uncharacterized. The record is from RefSeq and is a predicted model, not a curated record. The transcript is spliced from 6 exons. Lineage: Eukaryota; Metazoa; Mollusca; Gastropoda; Neomphalida; Peltospiridae.